RNAcentral lists this ribosomal RNA (253 nucleotides) under uncultured bacterium. RNAcentral describes it as "partial 16S ribosomal RNA". It matches the Rfam family "Bacterial small subunit ribosomal RNA", at positions 524 to 776 of the family's 1533-position model. The record is from RNAcentral.
UACGGAGGGUGCAAGCGUUGUUCGGAAUGACUGGGCGUAAAGAGCACGUAGGCGGGUUUGCAAGUCAGAUGUGAAAUCCCCGGGCUUAACCUGGGAACUGCACCUGAAACUGCAAAUCUUGAAUAUCUGAGGGGUUGGUGGAAUUCCGGGUGUAGGAGUGAAAUCCGUAGAUAUCCGGAGGAACAUCGGCGGCGAAGGCGGCCAACUGGCAGUAUAUUGACGCUGAGGUGCGAAAGCGUGGGGAGCAAACAGG